GACCUCGCGAGAGCAAGCGGACCUCAUAAAGUGCGUCGUAGUCCGGAUUGGAGUCUGCAACUCGACUCCAUGAAGUCGGAAUCGCUAGUAAUCGUGGAUCAGAAUGCCACGGUGAAUACGUUCCCGGGCCUUGUACACACCGCCCGUCACACCAUGGGAGUGGGUUGCAAAAGAAGUAGGUAGCUUAACCUUCGGGAGGGCGCUUACCACUUUGUGAUUCAUGACUGGGGUGAAGUCGUAACAAGGUAACCGUAGGGGAACCUGCGGUUGGAUCACCUCCUUACCUUAAAGAAGC
Molecule: ribosomal RNA, 295 nt
Filed under: Escherichia coli
Lineage: Bacteria; Pseudomonadati; Pseudomonadota; Gammaproteobacteria; Enterobacterales; Enterobacteriaceae
Description: partial 16S ribosomal RNA
Rfam family: Bacterial small subunit ribosomal RNA
Source: RNAcentral